Molecule: ribosomal RNA, 253 nt
Filed under: uncultured bacterium
Lineage: Bacteria
Description: partial 16S ribosomal RNA
Rfam family: Bacterial small subunit ribosomal RNA
Source: RNAcentral
UACGUAGGGUGCGAGCGUUAAUCGGAAUUACUGGGCGUAAAGCGUCCGCAGGUGGUUAUGUGUGUCUGAUGUGAAAUCCCCGAGCUUAACUUGGGAGUUGCGUUGGAAACUACAAAACUGGAGUAUGGCAGAGGGGGGUAGAAUUCCACAUGUAGCAGUGAAAUGCGUAGAUAUGUGGAGGAAUACCGAUGGCGAAGGCAGCCCCCUGGGCUAAUACUGACACUCAUGGACGAAAGCGUGGGGAGCAAACAGG